CAUAUGUAUAUAAGUAUAAAUGUAUAUUUCAGUGUGUAUACAUACACGUAUAUACACACACACACAUAUAUAUAUAUUUAUAUGUGUGUGUGUGUGUGUGUAUACAUAUAUUCCAGAAU
RNAcentral lists this microRNA precursor (119 nucleotides) under Notamacropus eugenii (tammar wallaby). RNAcentral's name for it is "miRNA (ENSMEUG00000017439.1)". Lineage: Eukaryota; Metazoa; Chordata; Mammalia; Diprotodontia; Macropodidae. The record is from RNAcentral.